RNAcentral lists this ribosomal RNA (496 nucleotides) under uncultured bacterium. Its description in RNAcentral is "partial 16S ribosomal RNA". It matches the Rfam family "Bacterial small subunit ribosomal RNA", at positions 28 to 507 of the family's 1533-position model. The record is from RNAcentral.
GACGAACGCUGGCGGCGUGCCUAAUACAUGCAAGUAGAACGCUGAAGAGAGGAGCUUGCUCUUCUUGGAUGAGUUGCGAACGGGUGAGUAACGCGUAGGUAACCUGCCUUGUAGCGGGGGUAACUAUUGGAAACGAUAGCUAAUAACGCAUAACAAUUGAUGACCCCUGUUAUUUAUUUGAAAGGGGCAAAUGCUCCACUACAAGAUGGAACUGCGUUGUAUUAGCUAGUAGGUGAGGUAACGGCUCACCUAGGCGACGAUACAUAGCCGACCUGAGAGGGUGAUCGGCCACACUGGGACUGAGACACGGCCCAGACUCCUACGGGAGGCAGCAGUAGGGAAUCUUCGGCAAUGGGGGCAACCCUGACCGAGCAACGCCGCGUGAGUGAAGAAGGUUUUCGGAUCGUAAAGCUCUGUUGUAAGUCAAGAACGAGUGUGAGAGUGGAAAGUUCACACUGUGACGGUAGCUUACCAGAAAGGGACGGCUAACUACGUG